Molecule: long non-coding RNA, 826 nt
Organism: Anopheles gambiae (African malaria mosquito)
Lineage: Eukaryota; Metazoa; Arthropoda; Insecta; Diptera; Culicidae
Exons: 3
Source: RefSeq, a predicted model, not a curated record
GUAUGUGAAUUCACCUCAAAAACAUAAACACCUUGUUCGCGGUCAUACGUUAAUAUUUAAGUAUCGUAGGCGUAAACGUCAGAAUAAAACGGCAUUCGUGCUCGAGAAUCAGAACAGCGCACACGUUCCGAUUCUUCGUAAUUUCCGUCCCGAAAAUUCCGCAACUUUACGCAGGCAAAAACAAAGCUGAAGAGAGGAAAAACAGUUUAAAGAAGGUCGUAAGAUAGGAAUUAGCUGUUUUCCAAACAAAUCAUGAAAAACACAAUUUUUUUAGCGCGUAAUACUUUAUAAACUUCAUUUUCAGUCGUAAACUUAUUCCGCCUUUGUUUAUUGUACUACCCUGUAUAAUAAGAGGAAUUGUAUUGAAUGAAGAAAAGCUGCUACAGCACGAGGAAUUCAUUUUCAUCCCAGCGUUUGUAUGGCCGUUGCCCACUGUGCACUGACGACAAACUCAACUUUAAUGUUGAGGCACAUUCGAGAAAUUAAAACUCACCUUAACAAUUUCCUAAGAUAAAUCCUUCCACAAUUGAACAAGAAUCUCUCGAGCUCAUCCAUUCACAGCACAAGUUUUGAAUGGACAAUACCCGGCAGAAUGCGAUACCAGAAACAAUAUGGAAGAUAGAAAGAGAUGGAAUGACUCAGCUCAGAGGAAUUAACUAGUAAAUACAUGUGUAUGUGACGUACGAAGAUUUUAGACCCCGAUUCACCCAUUUUCCAUCCAUCAUUUUCACACACACGCACACAGCUCUACACGGGCGGCGUGUUGCUGUAAAAAAAUAGAGAAAGUUGACCAGUGAUGGGUUUCAUGACUCUUUCGAUGAGAUUC